AUGAGGACGUGCCAGUGGUUCUUGACGGCGUUGUCGGUGCGGCCGGGGAAGAGGCGGGCGAUGAGGGCCCACUUGUUGCCGUAGGCGCGGUGCGCCGCCAUCAGCCGGUCCUCCUCCUCCUCCGUGAAGGCCCGGCGGUUGAUCCGCGGGUCCAGCUGGUUGAACCACCGCAGGCGGCAGCUUUUCCCUGUUGGCCGACAUCAUCACAAAAUAAACCAGGAAUCAGGGCGCAGAACCCACGAUCACCAUUCACCACUGCGUUAA
This 264-nucleotide ribosomal RNA is filed under the name Triticum aestivum (bread wheat). RNAcentral's name for it is "partial small subunit ribosomal RNA". The record is from RNAcentral. Lineage: Eukaryota; Viridiplantae; Streptophyta; Magnoliopsida; Poales; Poaceae.